This 253-nucleotide ribosomal RNA is filed under the name uncultured bacterium. RNAcentral's name for it is "partial 16S ribosomal RNA". It matches the Rfam family "Bacterial small subunit ribosomal RNA", at positions 524 to 776 of the family's 1533-position model. The record is from RNAcentral.
UACGGGGGGGGCAAGCGUUGUUCGGAAUUACUGGGCGUAAAGGGCUCGUAGGCGGCCAACUAAGUCAGACGUGAAAUCCCUCGGCUUAACCGGGGAACUGCGUCUGAUACUGGAUGGCUUGAGGUUGGGAGAGGGAUGCGGAAUUCCAGGUGUAGCGGUGAAAUGCGUAGAUAUCUGGAGGAACACCGGUGGCGAAGGCGGCAUCCUGGACCAAUACUGACGCUGAGGAGCGAAAGCCAGGGGAGCAAACGGG